CUCCACCCAGUUGUGUGUAUCUCUUUAUUGAACGCAGUUUGUUUCUGGCCAUUGAAAAGUUAUAAAUAAAUAAUCAGCCUUAUUGGUUGGUGCACAGCUUAGAGGUCUCGGCUGUGGGUAAAAACCUAGAGUUAAAGCUGCUAGAAGGGGGAGAGAAGUGGAUUGGGGAACCAGUUUAGGGAGAGAGUAGGGGUUAGGACAAGAAGCAUGGGGUGUUGAAAUGGUAAUAGGCUUCAGAUGAGGUGUUUUUUUCAAGGUGGCAGUUUGGAAUUCUUUGUGAUCUGACUUCGGUGAUUUUUGUCCAUAAAAUGAGAUUAUUCCUUCCUUCCAGGAUUGUGAAGAUGGGACCAGUGCUCAGUGUCAGGGUUAACCACUUGAAACAAAAACUUGAGGGUGUAUGAGGAGGGGAGGGGCUUUAAAUGAAAAUUUUAAGUGGGGGAAAAAAAAAUGUGAGCCAUUGGCCAGGGUUGGAAUUCUAAGCAAAGAGCCCUCCAGAUGGGAAUAAACCCAUGUGGUUGUAUACACCUGUAAUCUCAGCAAUGCGGGAAAUUAUGGCAGGAGCAUCAAGUUUUGAGGCCAGUCUGGGCAAUUUAGCAAGGCUAUGAAUGUAGCUCAGUGGUAGUGUGUGCACCAGGGUUCAACCCCAAGUAUAAAAGGGGCAGGGUCAGCAAUAGAAACAGCUGUAAAGCCUGCAUGCAUUUGGGCUCAGGAUGUAUGUCUAGUUAUUGUGGAAGGUAUUUGCGGAUAUUAUGGAGUAGUUUUUUGAUGCUUUGUGGGAAGGUUGUAGAUUGAUUUAUCAUCUUUAGGCAGAAAUCUCAAGUUGGAGCUUUAGCUUUCAUGGAGUCAGCAGUUCCCAUGAAAACUCUCAGCCUUGCUUGAACAGGAGGGUGCUGAAACAAACCUGCCUUGUCUUAGGAUGCUGCUUUUGCAAAUAUUUUCCUUUUGCAUCCAUCCUCUUUGCCUCUUUCCCAUUUUUUCUUAGUUUGCUUCUGCUUUGGAGUCAUAGAUCAGGUUUUGAGUCUGCCCUUGAAUGGGCAGGUAUCAUGAGAUGUUCAGGCAUCAGGAUGCAAGCUUGACAGGCCUGCCCAUUUAUAAAAAUCCCCACUUUUUUUUAAUUGGGAUCAGCUUCUGUGGCAGUCAUACCAUGUUGUUUGUUUUUUAAAGAUCUAAGCAUUUCAUUCCUUAUAUAUUUGAUACAUUCCCUUUUCCUUAAUUUCAAAUCUCAGACUGAACAUGUGGCUGCAUGCUGCCAGGCAAGCACUCUACUAUUGAGCUUGCUACACUCCUAGCCCUAACUGCAUUCUUAAAUGUUCUCAUUCCUGUACUUGAAACCAGUCAUAGAGCGGUAAUGACCAC
Molecule: long non-coding RNA, 1356 nt
Filed under: Marmota monax (woodchuck)
Lineage: Eukaryota; Metazoa; Chordata; Mammalia; Rodentia; Sciuridae
Source: RNAcentral